AGGGUUCGAUUCUGGCUCAGGAUGAACGCUAGCGACAGGCUUAACACAUGCAAGUCGAGGGGCAGCAUAAAAGUAGCAAUACUUUGGUGGCGACCGGCGCACGGGUGAGUAACGCGUAUGCAACCUACCUAUCAGAGGGGAAUAACCCGGCGAAAGUCGGACUAAUACCGCAUAAAACAGGGGGCACCGCAUGGUGAUAUUUGCUAAAGAAAUUCGCUGAUAGAUGGGCAUGCGUUCCAUUAGGUAGUUGGUGAGGUAACGGCUCACCAAGCCGACGAUGGAUAGGGGAACUGAGAGGUUGGUCCCCCACACUGGUACUGAGACACGGACCAGACUCCUACGGGAGGCAGCAGUGAGGAAUAUUGGUCAAUGGGCGAGAGCCUGAACCAGCCAAGUCGCGUGGAAAAGGAAGAAGGAUCUAUGGUUCGUAAACUUCUUUUGCAGGGGAAUAAAGUGCAGGACGUGUCCUGUUUUGUAUGUACCCUGAGAAUAAGGAUCGGCUAACUCCGUGCCAGCAGCAGC
RNAcentral lists this ribosomal RNA (522 nucleotides) under uncultured bacterium. Its description in RNAcentral is "bacterial SSU rRNA". It matches the Rfam family "Bacterial small subunit ribosomal RNA", at positions 8 to 518 of the family's 1533-position model. The record is from RNAcentral.